This 237-nucleotide ribosomal RNA is filed under the name uncultured prokaryote. RNAcentral's name for it is "partial 16S ribosomal RNA". It matches the Rfam family "Bacterial small subunit ribosomal RNA", at positions 524 to 760 of the family's 1533-position model. The record is from RNAcentral.
UACGUAGGGUGCGAGCGUUAAUCGGAAUUACUGGGCGUAAAGAGUGCGUAGGCGGUUCUCCAAGUCCGUUGUGAAAGCCCCGGGCUCAACCUGGGAAUGGCAUUGAUGACUGGCUCGCUAGAGUACGGCAGAGGGGGGUGGAAUUCCACGUGUAGCAGUGAAAUGCGUAGAGAUGUGGAGGAACACCGAUGGCGAAGGCAACCCCCUGGGCUGAUACUGACACUCAUGCACGAAAGC